GACGAACGCUGGCUGCGUGCUUAACACAUGCAAGUCUAACGGAAAGACCCUUCUUUUGUGGGGUGCUCGAGUGGCGAACGGGUGAGUAACACGUGAGUAACCUGCCCUUGACUUUGGGAUAACUUCAGGAAACUGGGGCUAAUACCGGAUAGGAGCUCCUUCUGCAUGGUGGGGGUUGGAAAGUUUCGGCGGUUGGGGAUGGACUCGCGGCUUAUCAGCUUGUUGGUGGGGUAGUGGCUUACCAAGGCUUUGACGGGUAGCCGGCCUGAGAGGGUGACCGGCCACAUGGGGACUGAGAUACGGCCCAGACUCCUACGGGAGGCAGCAGUGGGGAAUAUUGCACAAUGGGCGGAAGCCUGAUGCAGCAACGCCGCGUGCGGGAUGACGGCCUUCGGGUUGUAAACCGCUUUCGCCUGUGACGAAGCGUGAGUGACGGUAAUGGGUAAAGAAGCACCGGCUAACUACGUG
This 468-nucleotide ribosomal RNA is filed under the name uncultured bacterium. RNAcentral describes it as "partial 16S ribosomal RNA". It matches the Rfam family "Bacterial small subunit ribosomal RNA", at positions 28 to 507 of the family's 1533-position model. The record is from RNAcentral.